This 492-nucleotide ribosomal RNA is filed under the name uncultured bacterium. RNAcentral's name for it is "partial 16S ribosomal RNA". It matches the Rfam family "Bacterial small subunit ribosomal RNA", at positions 29 to 507 of the family's 1533-position model. The record is from RNAcentral.
AGUGAACGCUGGCGGUAGGCCUAACACAUGCAAGUCGAACGGCAGCACAGUAAGAGCUUGCUCUUACGGGUGGCGAGUGGCGGACGGGUGAGGAAUACAUCGGAAUCUACUUUUUCGUGGGGGAUAACGUAGGGAAACUUACGCUAAUACCGCAUACGACCUACGGGUGAAAGCAGGGGAUCUUCGGACCUUGCGCGAUUGAAUGAGCCGAUGUCGGAUUAGCUAGUUGGCGGGUUAAAGGCCCACCAAGGCGACGAUCCGUAGCUGGUCUGAGAGGAUGAUAAGCGACACUGGAACUGAGACACGGUCCAGACUCCUACGGGAGGCAGCAGUGGGGAAUAUUGGACAAUGGGCGCAAGCCUGAUCCAGCGAUACCGCGUGGGUGAAGAAGGCCUUCGGGUUGUAAAGCCCUUUUGUUGGGAAAGAAAAGCAGCAGGUUAAUACCCCGCUGUUCUGACGGUACCCAAAGAAUAAGCACCGGCUAACUUCGUG